UUUGACAAUUGAAGUAGUUUAAAACUUAGCAAGUCACGCCUCUUCCUCUUUUCUCCUUCUACUUCCUUUCUUUUCUCCAUUCCAGUUCCAGUUACCCUCCUCGCUUCCGAUUUCCUUCCUUCCAUCUCUCAAGUUUCUUUUCCUUCAAACUCAGUAAGUCACGCCUCUUCCUCUUCCUCUUAUAUUGGACUCUCUCGCUUUUCCGGUUGAAUUUCACGCCUAAGUUUUCAAGUACUUCCCGAGGUUGGACGCCCUCACUUUACCGGUUGUUGAUGUUGGUUUUUUAUUUUGCAUUGAUUGACAGGUUUCAAUUACUCCCCUCUCUGCAUUCUUCCUCCAAUAAAUCGACUGAAAAUACGACGAUUUGGCACAGGUCUGAACUUUUCCGAGAAUUAUCAUUUUCACUGUUGGAAAAGCUGUUCUUCCCAAUAGGUCUGAAGUUCUACGAGAAUUCUCAUGGGAGGCGCAGAAAAUAACUCCGGCACAGG
Long non-coding RNA from Lycium ferocissimum, 488 nucleotides. RefSeq lists it as uncharacterized. Lineage: Eukaryota; Viridiplantae; Streptophyta; Magnoliopsida; Solanales; Solanaceae. The transcript has 3 exons. The record is from RefSeq and is a predicted model, not a curated record.